CGUUGUGGUGGUUUUCUUUUUGGCCCACUUGUUAAGUUUUCAAAUGGUCCUGACUCUGCCACAGUUAUACAUAGGAGCUGGCAAAGGCUGAAUGACAAAAAGAUCUCUUUCUAGCCUUUCCCGAAUCAGAGAUUGGCUCCUACAUGU
Molecule: small nucleolar RNA, 147 nt
Organism: Camelus dromedarius (Arabian camel)
Lineage: Eukaryota; Metazoa; Chordata; Mammalia; Artiodactyla; Camelidae
Source: Ensembl